GACGAACGCUGGCGGCGUGCUUAACACAUGCAAGUCGAACGGAAAGGCCCUGCUUUUGUGGGGUGCUCGAGUGGCGAACGGGUGAGUAACACGUGAGUAACCUGCCCUUGUCUUUGGGAUAACUUCAGGUAACUGGGGCUAAUACCCGAUAGGAGCUCCUGCUGCAUGGUGGGGGUUGGUAAGUUUCGGAGGUUGGGGAUGGACUCGCGGCUUAUCAGCUUGUUUGUGGGGUAGUGGCUUACCAAGGCUUUGACGGGUAGCCGGCCUGAGAGGGUGAACGGCGACAAUGGGACUGAGAGACGGCGCAGAGUCCAACGGGAGGCAGCAGGGGGGAAUAUUGCAGAAUGGGAGGAAGCCUGAUGAAGAAAGGCCGCGAGCGGGAUGACGGCCUACGGGGUGAAAACCGAUGUCGCCUGUGAAGAAGAGUGAGUGACGGUAAUGGGUAAAGAAGCACCGGCUAACUACGUG
This 468-nucleotide ribosomal RNA is filed under the name uncultured bacterium. RNAcentral's name for it is "partial 16S ribosomal RNA". It matches the Rfam family "Bacterial small subunit ribosomal RNA", at positions 28 to 507 of the family's 1533-position model. The record is from RNAcentral.